Molecule: ribosomal RNA, 2914 nt
Filed under: Enterococcus faecium
Lineage: Bacteria; Bacillati; Bacillota; Bacilli; Lactobacillales; Enterococcaceae
Description: bacterial LSU rRNA
Rfam family: Bacterial large subunit ribosomal RNA
Source: RNAcentral
UUAAGUGAAUAAGGGCGCACGGUGGAUGCCUUGGCACUAGGAGCCGAUGAAGGACGGGACUAACACCGAUAUGCUUUGGGGAGCUGUACGUAAGCUAUGAUCCAGAGAUUUCCGAAUGGGGGAACCCAACAUCUUUAAUAGGAUGUUACGAUUGUGUGAAUACAUAGCACAUUCGAGGUAGACGCAGAGAACUGAAACAUCUAAGUACCUGCAGGAAGAGAAAGAAAAUUCGAUUCCCUGAGUAGCGGCGAGCGAAACGGGAAAAGCCCAAACCAGCAAGCUUGCUUGUUGGGGUUGUAGGACUCCAAUAUGGUAGUUCUUUCAGAUAGUCGAAUGACUUGGAAAAGUCAGUCAAAGAGGGUAAAAACCCCGUAGACGAAAUGUGGAAGACACCUAGGAGGAUCCUGAGUACGGCGGAACACGAGAAAUUCCGUCGGAAUCCGGGAGGACCAUCUCCCAAGGCUAAAUACUCCCUAGUGACCGAUAGUGAACCAGUACCGUGAGGGAAAGGUGAAAAGCACCCCGGAAGGGGAGUGAAAUAGAACCUGAAACCGUGUGCCUACAACAAGUCAAAGCCCGUUAAUGGGUGAUGGCGUGCCUUUUGUAGAAUGAACCGGCGAGUUACGAUUGCAUGCGAGGUUAAGUUGAAGAGACGGAGCCGCAGCGAAAGCGAGUCUGAAUAGGGCGUUUGAGUAUGUAGUCGUAGACCCGAAACCAUGUGAUCUACCCAUGUCCAGGUUGAAGGUGCGGUAAAACGCACUGGAGGACCGAACCCACGUACGUUGAAAAGUGCGGGGAUGAGGUGUGGGUAGCGGAGAAAUUCCAAACGAACUUGGAGAUAGCUGGUUCUCUCCGAAAUAGCUUUAGGGCUAGCCUCGGAAUUGAGAAUGAUGGAGGUAGAGCACUGUUUGGACUAGGGGCCCAUCUCGGGUUACCGAAUUCAGAUAAACUCCGAAUGCCAUUCAUUCAUAUCCGGGAGUCAGACUGUGAGUGAUAAGAUCCAUAGUCGAAAGGGAAACAGCCCAGACCACCAGCUAAGGUCCCAAAAUAUAUGUUAAGUGGAAAAGGAUGUGGGGUUGCACAGACAACUAGGAUGUUGGCUUAGAAGCAGCCACCAUUUAAAGAGUGCGUAAUAGCUCACUAGUCGAGUGACCCUGCGCCGAAAAUGUACCGGGGCUAAACAUAUUACCGAAGCUGUGGAGUACACCUUUAGGUGUAUUGGUAGGAGAGCGUUCUAAGGGCGUUGAAGGCAGAUCGUGAGGACUGCUGGAGCGCUUAGAAGUGAGAAUGCCGGUAUGAGUAGCGAAAGACAGGUGAGAAUCCUGUCCACCGAAUGACUAAGGUUUCCUGGGGAAGGCUCGUCCGCCCAGGGUUAGUCGGGACCUAAGCCGAGGCCGACAGGCGUAGGCGAUGGAUAACAGGUUGAUAUUCCUGUACCCGUUGUUUUUGUUUGAGCAAUGGAGGGACGCAGGAGGCUAAGGAAUGCAGACGAUCGGAAAUGUCUGUCCAAGCAGUAAGUCUGAAGAGGAGUCAAAUGCUUCUUUUCUUAAGGACAAGCUGUGAUGGGGAGGGAAAUAAUAGUACCGAAGUUCCUGAUGUCACACUGCCGAGAAAAGCUUCUAGUGAGAAAACAGCGGCCCGUACCGCAAACCGACACAGGUAGUCGAGGAGAGAAUCCUAAGGUGAGCGAGAGAACUCUCGUUAAGGAACUCGGCAAAAUGACCCCGUAACUUCGGGAGAAGGGGUGCUGAUCAUACGAUCAGCCGCAGUGAAUAGGCCCAAGCGACUGUUUAUCAAAAACACAGGUCUCUGCAAAAUCGUAAGAUGAAGUAUAGGGGCUGACGCCUGCCCGGUGCUGGAAGGUUAAGAGGAGUGCUUAGCGCAAGCGAAGGUACGAAUUGAAGCCCCAGUAAACGGCGGCCGUAACUAUAACGGUCCUAAGGUAGCGAAAUUCCUUGUCGGGUAAGUUCCGACCCGCACGAAAGGCGUAACGAUUUGGGCACUGUCUCAACGAGAGACUCGGUGAAAUUUUAGUACCUGUGAAGAUGCAGGUUACCCGCGACAGGACGGAAAGACCCCAUGGAGCUUUACUGUAGUUUGAUAUUGAGUGUCUGUACCGCAUGUACAGGAUAGGUAGGAGCCGUAGAAAUCGGAACGCUAGUUUCGAUGGAGGCGCUGGUGGGAUACUACCCCUGCGUUAUGGCCACUCUAACCCGCACCACUAAUCGUGGUGGGAGACAGUGUCAGAUGGGCAGUUUGACUGGGGCGGUCGCCUCCUAAAAGGUAACGGAGGCGCCCAAAGGUUCCCUCAGAAUGGUUGGAAAUCAUUCGAAGAGUGUAAAGGCAGAAGGGAGCUUGACUGCGAGACCAACAAGUCGAGCAGGGACGAAAGUCGGGCUUAGUGAUCCGGUGGUUCCGCAUGGAAGGGCCAUCGCUCAACGGAUAAAAGCUACCCUGGGGAUAACAGGCUUAUCUCCCCCAAGAGUCCACAUCGACGGGGAGGUUUGGCACCUCGAUGUCGGCUCGUCGCAUCCUGGGGCUGUAGUCGGUCCCAAGGGUUGGGCUGUUCGCCCAUUAAAGCGGCACGCGGAGCUGGGUUCAGAACGUCGUGAGACAGUUCGGUCCCUAUCCGUCGCGGGCGUUGGAAAUUUGAGAGGAGCUGUCCUUAGUACGAGAGGACCGGGAUGGACUUACCGCUGGUGUACCAGUUGUUCUGCCAAGGGCAUUGCUGGGUAGCUAUGUAGGGAAGGGAUAAACGCUGAAAGCAUCUAAGUGUGAAGCCCACCUCAAGAUGAGAUUUCCCAUUUCUUUAAGAAAGUAAGAUCCCUGAGAGAUGAUCAGGUAGAUAGGUCAGGAGUGGAAGUACAGUGAUGUAUGGAGCGGACUGAUACUAAUCGAUCGAGGACUUAACCAA